Molecule: long non-coding RNA, 1442 nt
Organism: Gadus morhua (Atlantic cod)
Lineage: Eukaryota; Metazoa; Chordata; Actinopteri; Gadiformes; Gadidae
Source: Ensembl
CCCAUUCGUAUUUUUUGAUCUUAAGGUCCCGUGGGCUCUACUGGAAGGGGCGUGACUUCGCCACUGUAUUCCUUUUCUCCAUUGACAUUUUGUAAAGUCAUAAUAUAAAGAGUUUUAAGCUCGGCCCAUGCCAAUUUUCGUCCAGGUAGUUGUAUUUAUAAAACAUUUGUUUCAGAGCAAACAUUUCUUUGGGAAAAUGGAAUAAAAAGCAAAGGUACGAGACUGAAUACUGACUGACUCUGAACCGCUAGGGGUCGUCGUCAGGCACGACGCGACUCUGAACCGCUAGGGAACGUCGUUAGGCACGACUCUAAAUCCCGGGCCCGAGUAGCUGGAGGUGAUGCUUCACGGCGUCGUCCCCUUAAGUGUACAUUAGAUCUCCAGCACCAUAAUGGCGAACUGCUCGUUCGGUGAAUAUGGCAGCAGAAUGGCUGAGCUUGAACACAGCCACAGUCGGCUCAGAAAAGAGACUGGAGAGAUGAGGCACUUGCUGGAGGUUGCAGAUGAGGAGGUGGCUGAACUACGCAUGGAGAAUGCAGCCCUGACAGGCAAAGUGGAAAUGCUGGAGAGUUCCCUCAGCGAUGCGGGGCACAUCCAAGUUGAGCUCCGCAGGGUCAAGAGCCUCCUCUGUGAGGAGCAGAGUAGCAACAGGAAAAGAACAAGCAACAAGGAGCAGGAGAUUCAAAAGUUGGAGGAGGAACGUAAGAUUCUGACGGAGCAGGCCAAAGGUCUAUCUGCCCAGCUGAAGGAGCUGCAGCAGCAGAGAGAGCAACGCGAGCUCAGCCAGAGUAACCUGGAGGCAGCACUGCAAAGGCUUCAGAUUAAAAUGGAAGAUAUUCGCCAGGAGCUGAAACUGAAGGAUGAGGAUAUCCACCAGCAAAACUGGCAGUUGAUGCAGCUUGAGGAGAUGAGGGAAGAGUACACAAACAUUAUACGGGACCUGCGGCUCAGGAACAAGGACCUGGAGAGCCAGGUGGAGCUCCAGCAGGAGGAGGCCGCCCGCCUGGUGAAUCACCAAUCCCCCCGCAACCCCCUCUCCAUCGCGGACGAGGUGGAGCUGCAGGCCUACCUGGCGGUGGUGGAGAAUUGUAGGCGAGAAGAGAAAGAUGAUGGGAAAAACACUGCUGUCAAGCCUUUUCCAAAGAGCCAGGGUCGUUCAGGUGGCCAGCUGCUGCACGGCGUGCUGACCAAGGGCCUCCUGGCCCUCGGAGGUGUGUCUGUCCUGGCCCUCGGAGGUCUGUCUGUCCUGGCCGUGACGGCCCCCAUGCUACUGGACAACUGGGGCUACAGCGCCGACCUUGUCUCCACCAACGACCUCUGGAAGACUGUGCAUGACUUGUUCUUGCGUAACUGUGACAAACAGUACAAGUGUUUGCCUCCAGUCUAGACUCCACCUAACUGUUCUGUUCCAGGAGAUCGGAUUGCUUCUCUGUGCCCACCAG